UGCAAGUCGAACGCUUCUUUUUCCACCGGAGCUUGCUCCACCGGAAAAAGAGGAGUGGCGAACGGGUGAGUAACACGUGGGUAACCUGCCCAUCAGAAGGGGAUAACACUUGGAAACAGGUGCUAAUACCGUAUAACAAUCAAAACCGCAUGGUUUUGAUUUGAAAGGCGCUUUCGGGUGUCGCUGAUGGAUGGACCCGCGGUGCAUUAGCUAGUUGGUGAGGUAACGGCUCACCAAGGCCACGAUGCAUAGCCGACCUGAGAGGGUGAUCGGCCACAUUGGGACUGAGACACGGCCCAAACUCCUACGGGAGGCAGCAGUAGGGAAUCUUCGGCAAUGGACGAAAGUCUGACCGAGCAACGCCGCGUGAGUGAAGAAGGUUUUCGGAUCGUAAAACUCUGUUGUUAGAGAAGAACAAGGAUGAGAGUAACUGUUCAUCCCUUGACGGUAUCUAACCAGAAAGCCACGGCUAACUACGUGCCA
RNAcentral lists this ribosomal RNA (483 nucleotides) under Enterococcus faecium. RNAcentral's name for it is "bacterial SSU rRNA". It matches the Rfam family "Bacterial small subunit ribosomal RNA", at positions 56 to 510 of the family's 1533-position model. The record is from RNAcentral. Lineage: Bacteria; Bacillati; Bacillota; Bacilli; Lactobacillales; Enterococcaceae.